This 88-nucleotide transfer RNA is filed under the name Candidatus Yonathbacteria bacterium. RNAcentral's name for it is "tRNA-Leu". The record is from RNAcentral. Lineage: Bacteria; Candidatus Yonathiibacteriota.
GCGCGGGUGGCGGAACUAGAAGACGCACUAGCUUGAGGGGCUAGCGGCCGAUAAGGUCGUGCAGGUGCAAGUCCUGUCCCGCGCACCA